CCCACUGUCAAAAGAAACAAUUUUUAGCUAUGGUUUUAUCAUAUAUGUUGGCUCUGAGCUCGUUAUUUUAAAAUUAAAAAUGGAGGUAGAUCUACAAGAAAGGCUUUAACAGAAAUUCUUGCUACUAAGGAUAGUCUGAUUUCUCCAGUGAUCAGUGCGCUGUAUACACUUUAAUUGAUGUUAAAUAUUAUAACUAGGCUUUGUAAGUUUAACUGAUGUUAAUGGACAGUUUUCUACAAAUUAAGGCAUCAUAGUCAUUAUUGACUUAAAUUUAUAUAUUCUUUCUGUUGGUAGGUGACCUAAACUCUUCCGAGUCAUGUACAUUCACACAGUGAGACACUGAGACCGCAGGUUGUAGCCAUAAAGGCUGGGUUGCACAGCAGUGCAGUUAUGAAAGCAACAGUCCAGACAGACUACAGGAUAUGUUCCCUCAGAGGUUUUCAAGGUUUUGUCUUGACAGAGACAUAGCUGAUGUCCAGAUCUAAAAAGUUUGCAGCACUCCUUCUUCCACCCAGAGGCUGAAGAUAACUGAGCUGUACAAGUCCCACCAAAUCAAUAAUUCUACUAUGCAUCUGCCUUACAUUACGCUGAAGCAGAUCAAGAGCAUUUGCACAAGCAGCACUUUCAGGACACCAGUACUUCAGUGUUAUAAAGAUAUAAUCAUACCUAACACUGACAAGCUGAGGAUCAGCCUUUUGACAUCGAGAGCAGAAGUAAGUCAUCCUGUUAUUCUCUCCUAAACGACACACAGUGAUUUUCUCAUUGCACUGACCGCAGGUUUGGCGCCUGUAUACUUUGUAGUGUUUGUAGAGUGGAGACCCAGUUUUGCGGCACUAAAAUAGAACAUGUUUAAAAACCAAGUUACAGAUACUAUAUAAAUUAUGGUAGCUUUUCUACAGCUCAUCUGAAACUAAACUAAAAUUAAAAAAAAAAUACCUGUGUAGACUAAUAGCUUAAUGAUUAAACAAAGACAUUAGAGACAUGUCCAUGAGGGCUACAUCCUGUAUUUCAUCUUCUUUUAUUUCAAAAAUUGACAUUAAAUCUGGUAUAUCAUGGUGCAAAAUUUUCUGAGUAUUGGAAUAAAGAAAGAAAUACACAAAAAAGACAUACUAGCAUGGCAUCAGCAGACAUAUGCUAGGGAUCUCUUGCAUUUAGAUGGACCAUCUAACUUUAACAGCAGUCUUCUUUGACCUGUCAGCUGCAAAAAUACACUGGGAGAGCUCAUGAGCUCCAAUCAACACAGCAGAGAAAAUGAAUAAGAGUCAGCUUGAGCCCAAUAAAGUUGCUCAGUUUCAUCCUAGUGCUCAUCACACCAGACAGGCUGGCUUGUGAAAUGCUAGUUGGCACAAUGGCAAGAUCCCCAUCCCCAGGAGCUGGCAGAAAGUCAUGUUAAAGUAGGAACAGAACAAACUCAAAGGACACAGUGACCUAAUGAGACCCCAAAGAGUUGACAAGCAGGCAUAUUUCAUGAGACAGUUCAUGCAAAGUCAACACAGGCAAACCCCAGUUAAAACUGACAGAAGGAAAAAAAAGUAAAAUCAGGAAGAGCCCAGUAGAGAUACAGCCAGUAAUUCAGUCAGAAGGAAUUACUGAUAAAGUGUUUGCAUGAAUAUUCACAAGCAAUUUUUUUUGUAAAUUUCUCCUUUAGAAGUCCAUUUUUUAUUAGUUUUGUUCCAUUGGUUAUUAAAACCAGACAAAAAUAACAGCUUUACUAUAUGAACUAGGUCCCACAUAUUUAUGUCUGUAAGGCGUUAAACUACAAAUCAAAGUGUAGAAUGAUUACUAUAAUAAUUACAGUAUGCUGACAUUCUAUAAACAAUGAUCAUCACUACUACAUAUUAAUCUGUUUUUGUUAUGUUUUUAUCUUCAAGAGGCUUUGGGGGCAAGUUCAUCCUUAAAAAGUACUUAGCUGAUGAAUACUUAGAAGGCUUAGUUAUAAAAAUUUAAGCUUACCAAAAAGAACUUCUAGCAACGCUAGCUCCUUGUCUUUCAUGAACAACUUUGAGAAACAGACAAGCAUUUCAUUCCUCUUUCAUUCCUCUGCGUGCAGCUUAAAGAAAAACAAGAAUGCAGCAACAUACAAGAAUUAGGCCCAGUUCGUUCAUUCUGUUUUGCAAAGAGGAAGAGCCACUAGGAAUUACAAGGUUGACAAGAGAAGAAAUUAAAUCCUAUUGAAUGGGAGUAGGGAACAGCUUGAGUUUAUUUUGCUUUAUCAACCAAAGAAUUUGUCACAGUUAGGAAGAAAUGUUAGGAUUUACAAUGUAUUCAUUCAUAUAAAUGUACUUAUUUCACGUUUCAUAAAGUUGCAUUAAUUGAAUUCCCAUAAAAAUUCCCAGGGGCAAGCAGUAGCUCCUAGUUUGAAGAGCUGUCACCUUACAUGUAUGUGCCUAACCUAUAUUAAUUCUGACACAUUCAGAGUGACUUCAUAUGUACAGCAAAACUGUACUGAAUUGGCCCAUGUCAUUCUUCCUGCUGCAACUUGGCCAAAGUUCUGCACAUUCUUACAGUCUAGAUUUCCCCACUCUUCCAUCUCUUGAUAAUUUGCAAUAAAACGCAAAGCAAGACUCCUAUUCACUGAAACACUUGUUUUAUUUCUUUUCCUCUUUUCCCUGAUGAAAUACAGCUGUGAUGCUGUAAUCAAGUUUUG
Meleagris gallopavo (turkey) is the source of this 2647-nucleotide non-coding RNA. The record is from RefSeq and is a predicted model, not a curated record. Lineage: Eukaryota; Metazoa; Chordata; Aves; Galliformes; Phasianidae.